RNAcentral lists this transfer RNA (40 nucleotides) under Chiropterotriton magnipes (bigfoot splayfoot salamander). RNAcentral describes it as "partial tRNA-Ser". The record is from RNAcentral. Lineage: Eukaryota; Metazoa; Chordata; Amphibia; Caudata; Plethodontidae.
GAGGAAAUAACAGAUUGGUUAUGUGGUUAACUUGAAAUUA